AUGGAUUUGCUUUCUCUUUGCAAUUUACCAUAAGUCAUUGCUCAGGAGGAAGGCCGACCACCGCUUUGGACACCUUUCUUCAAAUGGAGACGCAGGUAGAGGAGAAGGGCCGACAGAGCCCUAGAGGCAGGUUUCUUAUAUCUCUUUUGAAGGUUUGAUGCUUAAAACAGGUUUUCAGCCUAGAUCUUCAUGUACUGCAUAGGUGGAAUGCUCAGUGAUAACACUACCAUUGCAGUUGUUAUAUUCUUUGAGGCUGCAAUGCUAUCAUUUGUGAAAAUUGUUGUCCAAAAUUGAUUUCUGAAUACACAUAGAAAGAUACGAUACCGAAUCCAAUCCAAGCCUUAAGAGAGCAAAGAAGAGUAUUCGAAGUCCGUUUCAGCAUCCCAUCAGAUUCCACGCAAUUAGUUAUGAACCAAGUCCUUGACACAACAGUCGCUGAACUUGAAGCCACGCCAACACCACACACAAAAAAAUAUAUAUUAACUACAUCGUUUAGUGUUGCUAUGUUUUUUUUAAGAACUGUUCGGUUAACAUUCUUUAUACAUAUCUGGUUGUUACUACACAAACCCCUACAACAUUCCAC
This 583-nucleotide long non-coding RNA is filed under the name Helianthus annuus (common sunflower). Lineage: Eukaryota; Viridiplantae; Streptophyta; Magnoliopsida; Asterales; Asteraceae. The record is from RNAcentral.